This 287-nucleotide unclassified non-coding RNA is filed under the name uncultured fungus. Its description in RNAcentral is "partial contains small subunit ribosomal RNA, internal transcribed spacer 1, and 5.8S ribosomal RNA". The stretch from base 1 to 73 matches the Rfam family "Eukaryotic small subunit ribosomal RNA", at positions 1759 to 1831 of the family's 1831-position model. The record is from RNAcentral. Lineage: Eukaryota; Fungi.
UCAAACUUGGUCAUUUAGAGGAAGUAAAAGUCGUAACAAGGUUUCCGUAGGUGAACCUGCGGAAGGAUCAUUACCAAGGUUGAAUAUAAUACUAUUCACCCCAUUGUGUGCACUCAUUUGAACUGUUUUGGAAAAGAAAAAAUAGUUUUUUUUUCUUUUUCCAAAUGGUUCCAACCAAUUUUCUUCCACCGCUUUACUGCCUUUGUCUGACUGAUUCUUUCAUGUAACUUUCAAAUACAACUUUCAACAACGGAUCUCUUGGCUCUCGCAUCGAUGAAGAACGCAGC